This 390-nucleotide long non-coding RNA is filed under the name Anas platyrhynchos platyrhynchos (common mallard). Its description in RNAcentral is "lncRNA (ENSAPLG00000017932.1)". Lineage: Eukaryota; Metazoa; Chordata; Aves; Anseriformes; Anatidae. The record is from RNAcentral.
GAGAGAGAUCUUCUUACUGUGCAUUCCAGGAAUGAAACCAUGGAUGUAUAGAGCUACAAGUAUAAGGCAGCAAAAAAUGCUUUCAUUAGGCGACAUGAGAAGACUCGAUCUGUCUAGUGUUGACACAGGCAAAGUCAUGUCUUCUCAUCUCUUCAGCCAGCUGAGAAGUGAUGCUAGGUUCUGUACAGUAAAAAGGUAACGUGUGCCUCCUUGUGUCCAUACCUAACCACCAAAAGUCUGCCAGUAGUGCAACCAACUCAGAGAUGUGUAACAAAAUGAUGAGGGCUUGGGUUUAGUCACUCAAGUCUCACUGGACUGGGGUGAUGUACCUUGCCUAAUUUCUGUCCUAUCAGUUUCAAAUAAAGGUAGUAGCAUUCAUGUCUGUCUACA